CACCUACGGGAGGCAGCAGUGGGGGAUAUUGCACAAUGGGGGGAACCCUGAUGCAGCGACGCCGCGUGGGUGAAGGAGCGUUUCGGCGCGUAAAGCCCUAUCGGCAGGGAAGAAGAUGACGGUACCUGACCAAGAAGCCCCGGCUAACUACGUGCCAGCAGCCGCGGUAAUACGUAGGGGGCAAGCGUUAUCCGGAUUUACUGGGUGUAAAGGGAGCGUAGACGGCAGCACAAGUCUGGAGUGAAAUCCCGGGGCUUAACCCCGGAACUGCUCUUGGAACUGCAUGGCUGGAGUACAGGCGGGGG
Molecule: ribosomal RNA, 305 nt
Filed under: uncultured bacterium
Lineage: Bacteria
Description: bacterial SSU rRNA
Rfam family: Bacterial small subunit ribosomal RNA
Source: RNAcentral